Molecule: small nucleolar RNA, 79 nt
Organism: Sceloporus undulatus (fence lizard)
Lineage: Eukaryota; Metazoa; Chordata; Lepidosauria; Squamata; Phrynosomatidae
Source: RefSeq, a predicted model, not a curated record
CUGCAAUGAUGUGUGAAUUUCUUCACCUGAACCCACACGUGAAGAUAGAAAAUAUACGAGCUUUUUAACCCUGAGCAAC